AACGCUAGCUACAGGCUUAACACAUGCAAGUCGAGGGGCACAUGGUCUUAGCUUGCUAAGGCCGAUGGCGACCGGCGCACGGGUGAGUAACACGUAUCCAACCUGCCGUCUACUCUUGGACAGCCUUCUGAAAGGAAGAUUAAUACAAGAUGGCAUCAUGAGUCCGCAUGUUCACAUGAUUAAAGGUAUUCCGGUAGACGAUGGGGAUGCGUUCCAUUAGAUAGUAGGCGGGGUAACGGCCCACCUAGUCUUCGAUGGAUAGGGGUUCUGAGAGGAAGGUCCCCCACAUUGGAACUGAGACACGGUCCAAACUCCUACGGGAGGCAGCAGUGAGGAAUAUUGGUCAAUGGGCGAGAGCCUGAACCAGCCAAGUAGCGUGAAGGAUGACUGCCCUAUGGGUUGUAAACUUCUUUUAUAAAGGAAUAAAGUCGGGUAUGGAUACCCGUUUGCAUGUACUUUAUGAAUAAGGAUCGGCUAACUCCGUGCCAGCAGCCGCGGUAAUACGGAGGAUCCGAGCGUUAUCCGGAUUUAUUGGGUUUAAAGGGAGCGUAGAUGGAUGUUUAAGUCAGUUGUGAAAGUUUGCGGCUCAACCGUAAAAUUGCAGUUGAUACUGGAUAUCUUGAGUGCAGUUGAGGCAGGCGGAAUUCGUGGUGUAGCGGUGAAAUGCUUAGAUAUCACGAAGAACUCCGAUUG
RNAcentral lists this ribosomal RNA (693 nucleotides) under uncultured bacterium. Its description in RNAcentral is "bacterial SSU rRNA". It matches the Rfam family "Bacterial small subunit ribosomal RNA", at positions 32 to 715 of the family's 1533-position model. The record is from RNAcentral.